Molecule: ribosomal RNA, 248 nt
Filed under: uncultured bacterium
Lineage: Bacteria
Description: partial 16S ribosomal RNA
Rfam family: Bacterial small subunit ribosomal RNA
Source: RNAcentral
AUACGUAGGGUGCAAGCGUUAAUCGGAAUUACUGGGCGUAAAGCGUGCGCAGGCGGUUUAUAUAAGACAGAUGUGAAAUCCCCGGGCUCAACCUGGGAACUGCAUUUGUGACUGUAUAGCUAGAGUACGGUAGAGGGGGAUGGAAUUCCGCGUGUAGCAGUGAAAUGCGUAGAUAUGCGGAGGAACACCGAUGGCGAAGGCAAUCCCCUGGACCUGUACUGACGCUCAUGCACGAAAGCGUGGGGAGC